Pseudophryne corroboree (corroboree frog) is the source of this 838-nucleotide long non-coding RNA. RefSeq lists it as uncharacterized. The transcript is spliced from 5 exons. Lineage: Eukaryota; Metazoa; Chordata; Amphibia; Anura; Myobatrachidae. The record is from RefSeq and is a predicted model, not a curated record.
UUUUAUUUUCCCUUUGCAGCCACAUGCUGCAGUGUGCUCAUACAGAAGCCGACGCUCUGCUGAGUUUGCUUCCUGCAUGGACAGGAACAGGAAGUCACGUGGUGCACAUGUGACUGUGAGAGAGGAGAGGAGCGUGAGGAGCAGUAGCCAGCAGGUCUAUCAGAAAGCCAUACCAUACGGGGGAGCAAAGACUCAGGGAUAAGUACAGAACACUUACCAAAACACUGUUCCUUCAAGUCACAUGACUAUCGGGACCCGGUAGAAGGCGCAGGAGCAAGUGCUGCCACUGGGAGAAUGGGAGAAGAACUAUCCAUGAAGAGUUGUCAGUCUUCUGCUUGAUAUUCUGCCCCUUGCUAGAGACACGGCAGCAGCUCAAAGUGAAAGAUGGCCCCUGACCUACAAUUGCGGCUAAGAAGGAAACAUGAAAAGGCCUCUGCAAAGGAUUUUCCAUGGCUACAUCUACAAGAAUAAGAGGUUGUACCGAGUUGUUUGAAGAAAAAGGCUCACAAUGCAUUAAUGACAAAUGGGGAGAUGCAUCAAACCUUGGAGAGAGAUAAAGUACUGACCUAUCAGCACAUCCCCAUCCUUAGCUCAACCCCAUUGAGAAGUGGCAACUUUAUCAAUGAACAUCAUAUUCAUUGUUCCUAGAUAUGUGUAACAUUUUUUUAUCUAAAUGUCUGAAAAUGCAGAAACCAUCUGAUAGUUUGGGAUUUUUUUAUUUUUUUUUCAUUUGCUUAAAAUAUGCUUUGUAACAUCUGAGUCUCAAUUUAAUAAAAUCUGUUUAGAGCACUACUAUACAAGCAACUGUUACGAAGGCCACCAGGUGGUACAAGGUGAC